RNAcentral lists this ribosomal RNA (505 nucleotides) under uncultured bacterium. Its description in RNAcentral is "bacterial SSU rRNA". It matches the Rfam family "Bacterial small subunit ribosomal RNA", at positions 28 to 487 of the family's 1533-position model. The record is from RNAcentral.
GAUGAACGCUGGCGGCAUGCCUAAGACAUGCAAGUCGAACGAGGUGGCCCAAAGAAGAUUGAGUGCUUGCACAAGAUUGGACUUGGAUUACCACCUAGUGGCGGACGGGUGAGUAACACGUAGGUGACCUGCCUUUGAGUUUGGGAUAACUAUUAGAAAUGAUAGCUAAUACCGGAUUAAAUGCAGAUUCGUUUCUGUAUUAAAAGGAGCCUUUAAAAGCUUCGCUUAAAGAUGGGCCUGCGGCGUAUUAGCUAGUUGGUGAGGUAAUGGCUUACCAAGGCGACGAUGCGUAGCCGAACUGAGAGGUUGAUCGGCCACAUUGGGACUGAGACACGGCCCAAAAUCCUACGGGGAGACAGCAGUUAGGAAUAUUCGUCAAUGGGGGAAACCCUGAACGAGCAAUGCCGCGUGAACGAUGAAGGCCCUAUGGGUUGUAAAAGUUCUGUUGCAUGGGACGAACGAUUAGGAUAGGAAAUGAUCUUAAAUGUGACGGUACCAUGCCAAG